UUCCUAUCAGUUUCUCUUGUUGCAGCAAGGCUACAACACUAAAAGAAGCAAUUAAGUGGAAGAAAAAUGAAUCAACAUAAUGGUGAGCUCCCACUUAAUUUCUUUACCUAGCUUGCUCGUUGUAGGAGGAUUACCGCUAGAAUGGGGCAUUGACAUCAAUACCCACCCUAGCAACACGAAAUAUCAUCCUUCUAGCUCCACUUGACUCAACCAUCACUCUGCCCGCACCAUCGGUAGAAAAGUUAACAACAUCAUCAAAAACCUCAUUCGAUAUGGUGUACACUAGAGAUCCCUUAUUGCAUGGCGAUAUAAUUUGUGGAACCCAACAGUCCACUAACUAAAACUUGGUGUGCACUUACCUUAGUAACAACAAACUCCAUACCCUUACCUAAUAGCUGCCCG
RNAcentral lists this long non-coding RNA (402 nucleotides) under Gossypium raimondii (Peruvian cotton). RNAcentral's name for it is "long non-coding RNA (GRAI_LNC008940)". Lineage: Eukaryota; Viridiplantae; Streptophyta; Magnoliopsida; Malvales; Malvaceae. The record is from RNAcentral.